GAUUAUAUGGUCUAAAAAGGAUGUUAAAUUGCAAGUUUAGAGGUAAAGUUUUUUUUUAUAAUUU
RNAcentral lists this transfer RNA (64 nucleotides) under Trigonopterus sp. 3 AH-2016. Its description in RNAcentral is "tRNA-Cys". The record is from RNAcentral. Lineage: Eukaryota; Metazoa; Arthropoda; Insecta; Coleoptera; Curculionidae.